UUGAUAUCCUAAGAACCUUUUAGAGAUAAGAGGGUGCUAGCUUGCUAGAACUUAGAGACAGGUGCUGCACGGCUGUCGUCAGCUCGUGUCGUGAGAUGUUGGGUUAAGUCCCGCAACGAGCGCAACCCACGUAUUUAGUUGCUAACGGUUCGGCCGAGCACUCUAAAUAGACUGCCUUCGUAAGGAGGAGGAAGGUGUGGACGACGUCAAGUCAUCAUGGCCCUUAUGCCCAGGGCGACACACGUGCUACAAUGGCAUAUACAAUGAGACGCAAUACCGCGAGGUGGAGCAAAUCUAUAAAAUAUGUCCCAGUUCGGAUUGUUCUCUGCAACUCGAGAGCAUGAAGCCGGAAUCGCUAGUAAUCGUAGAUCAGCCAUGCUACGGUGAAUACGUUCCCGGGUCUUGUACUCACCGCCCGUCACACCAUGGGAGUUGAUUU
RNAcentral lists this ribosomal RNA (439 nucleotides) under Escherichia coli. RNAcentral's name for it is "bacterial SSU rRNA". It matches the Rfam family "Bacterial small subunit ribosomal RNA", at positions 981 to 1417 of the family's 1533-position model. The record is from RNAcentral. Lineage: Bacteria; Pseudomonadati; Pseudomonadota; Gammaproteobacteria; Enterobacterales; Enterobacteriaceae.